Molecule: non-coding RNA, 277 nt
Organism: Cinara cedri
Lineage: Eukaryota; Metazoa; Arthropoda; Insecta; Hemiptera; Aphididae
Source: the annotation of a GenBank genome assembly
AAAAAAGUAAUUUCUCUCGGCUUGACGCAUUUUCGCGUAGGUAAACGUACACAAUAGACUCGAUAAUAAUAAUAUCGACGGGCAAUAAUUAUGCGGUGUUGAGUUAAUAAUAACAAUUAUUGUUGAUUCGCGCGUCGUUAAUUGCCUCGGCGAUAUUAGAGAGUUUUCGGGCACGCGCGACAAAACUGUACGGCUGCGUCAAGAGCCGUAGGGAUCACACGAGGAUCCACAGCGGGGGUAUUUUUGAAAUAUUAUCAUCGCCGAAAGAAUUUGUAUU